Molecule: unclassified non-coding RNA, 219 nt
Filed under: uncultured Tomentella
Lineage: Eukaryota; Fungi; Basidiomycota; Agaricomycetes; Thelephorales; Thelephoraceae
Description: sequence contains ITS2
Source: RNAcentral
ACACCUCAACUCUUCACGGCUCGCCGUGAUGAGCUUGGACUUUGGGGGUCUUGUUGGCCUGUGAGCCAGCUCCUCUUAAAUGAAUUAGCUUGCCGGUGUUUGGUGGCAUCACAGGUGUGAUAACUAUCUACGCUUGUGGUUUCCCAUCAGGUGACCUUCAGCGAUGGAGGUUCGCUGGGGCUUAUAAACAUCUCUCCUCGGUGAGGACAGAUUUUGACC